Molecule: ribosomal RNA, 359 nt
Filed under: Shewanella sp.
Lineage: Bacteria; Pseudomonadati; Pseudomonadota; Gammaproteobacteria; Alteromonadales; Shewanellaceae
Description: partial 16S ribosomal RNA
Rfam family: Bacterial small subunit ribosomal RNA
Source: RNAcentral
GGCUGUGUCAGCUGGGGGUGUGGGGUGUGGGGGGGAGUUGGGAACGAGCUCAAACGCUAUCGUUAUGGGGCAGCAGUAAUGGUGGAACUGUAGGGGGAGUGCCGGUGAUAAACCGGAGGAAGGUGGGGAGGACGUCAAGUCAUCAUGGCCCUUACGAGUAGGGUACGCACGUGUUGCAAGGGGGGGUACAGAGGGUUGCAAAGCCGCGAGGGGAGCUAAUGUGACAAAGCUGGUGUAGUCCGGAGUGGAGGUGCAACUCGACUCCAUGAAGUCGGAAUCGCUAGUAAUCGUGGAUCAGAAAGAGCACGGUGAAUACGUUCCCGGGCCUUGUACACGCCGCCCGUGAGGGCCAUGGAGGG